UGGGGAAUAUUGGACAAUGGGCGAAAGCCUGAUCCGGCCAUGCCGCGUGUGUGAAGAAGGUCUUCGGAUUGUAAAGCACUUUAAGUUGGGAGGAAGGGCAGUAAGCUAAUACCUUGCUGUUUUGACGUUACCGACAGAAUAAGCACCGGCUAACUCUGUGCUAG
RNAcentral lists this ribosomal RNA (164 nucleotides) under uncultured bacterium. RNAcentral describes it as "partial 16S rRNA". It matches the Rfam family "Bacterial small subunit ribosomal RNA", at positions 355 to 511 of the family's 1533-position model. The record is from RNAcentral.